This 387-nucleotide ribosomal RNA is filed under the name uncultured bacterium. RNAcentral describes it as "bacterial SSU rRNA". It matches the Rfam family "Bacterial small subunit ribosomal RNA", at positions 370 to 772 of the family's 1533-position model. The record is from RNAcentral.
AAUGGGCGCAAGCCUGACCCAGCAACGCCGCGUGAGGGAAGAAGGUUUUCGGAUUGUAAACCUCUGUCGCAAGGGACGAAGAAGUGACGGUACCUUGUAAGAAAGCCCCGGCUAACUACGUGCCAGCAGCCGCGGUAAUACGUAGGGGGCAAGCGUUGUCCGGAAUUACUGGGCGUAAAGGGUGCGUAGGCGGCUAUUUAAGUUGGAUGUGAAAUACCCGGGCUUAACUUGGGGGGUGCAUUCAAAACUGGGUGGCUAGAGUUCAGGAGAGGGAAGCGGAAUUCCUAGUGUAGCGGUGAAAUGCGUAGAUAUUAGGAGGAACACCAGUGGCGAAGGCGGCUUUCUGGACUGACACUGACGCUGAUGCACGAAAGCGUGGGGAGCAAA